Molecule: ribosomal RNA, 158 nt
Filed under: Madracis pharensis
Lineage: Eukaryota; Metazoa; Cnidaria; Anthozoa; Scleractinia; Pocilloporidae
Description: 5.8S ribosomal RNA
Rfam family: 5.8S ribosomal RNA
About the family: 5.8S ribosomal RNA (5.8S rRNA) is a component of the large subunit of the eukaryotic ribosome. It is transcribed by RNA polymerase I as part of the 45S precursor that also contains 18S and 28S rRNA.
Source: RNAcentral
AACUUUUGACGGUGGAUCUCUUGACUCACGCAUCGAUGAAGAACGCAGCCAGCUGCGAUAAGUAGUGUGAAUUGCAGAAUUCAGUGAAUCAUCGAAUCUUUGAACGCAAAUGGCGCUCUUGGGUUCUCCCAGGAGCAUGUCUGUCUGAGUGUCGGAUA